RNAcentral lists this long non-coding RNA (1972 nucleotides) under Citrus x clementina. RNAcentral describes it as "Citrus clementina (C. clementina) long non-coding RNA (CCLE_LNC006207)". The record is from RNAcentral. Lineage: Eukaryota; Viridiplantae; Streptophyta; Magnoliopsida; Sapindales; Rutaceae.
GCGGCUUUGCCCGCGGCUUAUUUUUGGCACCCCGAGGCCCCUCGCAAAGUCUCGCCCCAUUCCGAGUCCGGCGGACGAACUUCGCCCGCGCCCCCCACCAAUGCUAUAGCCCACCCGUUUUUUGGCCAUUUUUCCGCUGGGGGGUUUUGGCACCACGACCUUCGGGUGCUUAUUUUUGGGCGCGGCUUUGCCCGUGGCUUAUUUUUGGUGCCCUGAGGCCCCUCGCAAAGUCUCGUCCCAUUCCGAGUCCGGCGGACGAACUUCGCCCGCGCCCCCCACCAAGGCUAUAGCCCACCCGUUUUUUGGCCAUUUUUCCGCUGGGGGGUUUUGGCACCACGACUUUCGGGCGCUUAUUUCUGGACGCGGCAGUGCCCGCGACUUCCCGCGGGCACCCCGAGGCCCCUCGCAAAGUCUCGCCCCAUUCCGAGUCCGGCGGACGAACUUCGCCCGCGCCCCCCACCAAGGCUAUAGCCCACCCGUUUUUUGGCCAUUUUUCCGCUGGGGGGUUUUGGCACCACGACCUUCGGGCGCUUAUUUCUGGACGCGGCUGUGCCCGCGACUUCCCGCGGGCACCCCGAGGCCCCUCGCAAAGUCCCGCCCCAUUCCAAGUCCGGCAAACGAACUUCGCCCGUGCCCCCCACCAAGGCUAUAGCCCACCCGUUUUUUGGCCAUUUUUCCGCUGGGGGGUUUUGGCACCACGACCUUCGGGCGCUUAUUUUUGGGCGCGGCUUUGCCCGCGGCUUAUUUUUGGCACCCCGAGGCCCCUCGCAAAGUCUCGCCCCAUUCCGAGUCCGGCGGACGAACUUCGCCCGCGCCCCCCACCAAGGCUGUAGCCCACCCGUUUUUUGGCCAUUUUUCCGCUGGGGGGUUUUGGCACCACGACCUUUGGGCGCGGCUUUGCCCGCGGCUUAUUUUUGGCACCCCGAAGCCCCUCGCAAAGUCUCGCCCCAUUCCGAGUCCGGCGGACGAACUUCGCCCGCACCCCCCACCAAUGCUAUAGCCCACCCGUUUUUUGGCCAUUUUUCCGCUGGGGGGUUUUGGCACCACGACCUUCGGGCGCUUAUUUUUGGGCGCGGCUUUGCCCGUGGCUUAUUUUUGGUGCCCUGAGGCCCCUCGCAAAGUCUCGUCCCAUUCCGAGUCCGGCGGACGAACUUCGCCCGCGCCCCCCACCAAGGCUAUAGCCCACCCGUUUUUUGGCCAUUUUUCCGCUGGGCGGUUUUGGCACCACGACCUUCGGGCGCUUAUUUCUGGACGCGGCUGUGCCCGCGACUUCCCGCGGGCACCCCGAGGCCCCUCGCAAAGUCUCGCCCCAUUCCGAGUCCGGCGGACGAACUUCGCCCGCGCCUCCCACCAAGGCUAUAGCCCACCUGUUUUUUGGCCAUUUUUCCGCUGGGGGGUUUUGGCACCACGACCUUCCGGCGCUUAUUUCUGGACGCGGCUGUGCCCGCGACUUCCUGCGGGCACCCCGAGGCCCCUCGCAAAGUCUCGCCCCAUUCCGAGUCCGGCGGACGAACUUCGCCCGUGCCCCCCACCAAGGCUAUAGCCCACCCGUUUUUUGGCCAUUUUUCCGCUGGGGGGUUUUGGCACCACGACCUUCGGGCGCUUAUUUCUGGACGCGGCUGUGCCCGCGACUUCCCGCGGGCACCCCGAGGCCCCUCGGAAAGUCUCGCCCCAUUCCACGUCCAGCGGACGAACUUCGCCCGCGCCCCCCACCAAGGCUAUAGCCCACCCGUUUUUUGGCCAUUUUUCCGCUGGGGGGUUUUGGCACCACGACCUUCGGGCGCUUUUUUCUGGACGCGGCUGUGCCUGCGACUUCCCGCGGGCACCCCGAGGCCCCUCGCAAAGUCCCGCCCCAUUCCACGUCCGGCAAACGAACUUCGCCCGUGCCCCCCACCAAGGCUAUAGCCCACCCGUUUUUUGGCCAUUUUUCCGCUGGGGGGUUUUGGCACCACGACCUUCGGGCGCUUAUUUU